ACUCCUACGGGAGGCAGCAGUGAGGAAUAUUGGGCAAUGGAGGCAACUCUGACCCAGCCAUGCCGCGUGCAGGAAGACGGCCCUAUGGGUUGUAAACUGCUUUUAUACAGGAAGAAACGCAUCUACGUGUAGGUGUUUGACGGUACUGUAAGAAUAAGGAUCGGCUAACUCCGUGCCAGCAGCCGCGGUAAUACGGAGGAUUCGAGCGUUAUCCGGAAUCAUUGGGUUUAAAGGGUCCGUAGGUGGAUGAUUAAGUCAGAGGUGAAAUCCUGCAGCUCAACUGUAGAAUUGCCUUUGAUACUGGUUGUCUUGAAUUAUUGUGAAGUAGUUAGAAUAUGUGGUGUAGCGGUGAAAUGCAUAGAUAUCACAUAGAAUACCGAUUGCGAAGGCAGAUUACUAACAAUACAUUGACACUGAUGGACGAAAGCGUGGGGAUCGAACAGGAUUAGAUACCCUGGUAGGAUAGCGU
This 469-nucleotide ribosomal RNA is filed under the name uncultured bacterium. RNAcentral's name for it is "bacterial SSU rRNA". It matches the Rfam family "Bacterial small subunit ribosomal RNA", at positions 335 to 800 of the family's 1533-position model. The record is from RNAcentral.